RNAcentral lists this ribosomal RNA (253 nucleotides) under uncultured bacterium. RNAcentral's name for it is "partial 16S ribosomal RNA". It matches the Rfam family "Bacterial small subunit ribosomal RNA", at positions 524 to 776 of the family's 1533-position model. The record is from RNAcentral.
UACGUAGGGUGCAAGCGUUGUCCGGAAUUAUUGGGCGUAAAGAGCUCGUAGGCGGUUUGUUGCGUCGGCUGUGAAAUCCCGAGGCUCAACCUCGGGUCUGCAGUCGAUACGAGCAAACUAGAGUGUUGCAGGGGAGACCGGAAUUCCUGGUGUAGCGGUGAAAUGCGCAGAUAUCAGGAGGAACACCGGUGGCGAAGGCGGGUCUCUGGGCAACAACUGACGCUGAGGAGCGAAAGCGUGGGGAGCAAACAGG